CCCUUAGAUGUUCUGGGCCGCACGCGCGCUACACUGAUGAAUGCAACGAGCUCUACCCUUGACCGAAAGGCCCGGGUAAACUUGUGAAACUUCAUCGUGAUGGGGAUAGAUUAUUGCAAUUAUUAAUCUUCAACGAGGAAUUCCUAGUAAGCGCGAGUCAUCAGCUCGCGUUGAUUACGUCCCUGCCCUUUGUACACACCGCCCGUCGCUCCUACCGAUUGAGUGGUCCGGUGAGGCUUUGGGAUCUGAGCGGAAAGAGCGUUUCGCUGUUUCUGCCCGGAAAACUCAGUCGAACCUUAUCAUUUAGAGGAAGGAGAAGUCGUAACA
Molecule: ribosomal RNA, 327 nt
Filed under: uncultured eukaryote
Lineage: Eukaryota
Description: partial 18S ribosomal RNA
Rfam family: Eukaryotic small subunit ribosomal RNA
Source: RNAcentral